GAUGAACGCUGGCGGCGUGCCUAAUACAUGCAAGUCGAGCGAACAGACGAGGAGCUUGCUCCUCUGACGUUAGCGGCGGACGGGUGAGUAACACGUGGAUAACCUACCUAUAAGACUGGGAUAACUUCGGGAAACCGGAGCUAAUACCGGAUAAUAUAUUGAACCGCAUGGUUCAAUAGUGAAAGACGGUUUUGCUGUCACUUAUAGAUGGAUCCGCGCUGCAUUAGCUAGUUGGUAAGGUAACGGCUUACCAAGGCAACGAUGCGUAGCCGACCUGAGAGGGUGAUCGGCCACACUGGAACUGAGACACGGUACAGAAUCCUACGGGAGGCAGCAGUAGGGAAUCUUCCGCAAUGGGCGAAAGCCUGACGGAGCAACGCCGCGUGAGUGAUGAAGGUCUUCGGAUCGUAAAACUCUGUUAUUAGGGAAGAACAUAUGUGUAAGUAAAUGUGCACAUCUUGACGGUACCUAAUCAGAGAGCCACGGCUAACUACGUG
This 497-nucleotide ribosomal RNA is filed under the name uncultured bacterium. RNAcentral describes it as "partial 16S ribosomal RNA". It matches the Rfam family "Bacterial small subunit ribosomal RNA", at positions 28 to 507 of the family's 1533-position model. The record is from RNAcentral.